This 700-nucleotide long non-coding RNA is filed under the name Lonchura striata (white-rumped munia). Its description in RNAcentral is "domestica (Bengalese finch) lncRNA (ENSLSDG00000013225.1)". The record is from RNAcentral. Lineage: Eukaryota; Metazoa; Chordata; Aves; Passeriformes; Estrildidae.
CUAAUUGUGGAAUGCUUUGACUUCAACAAAAUUCACACCAUAUGUCAAAGAAGAAAAAGAAAUCUUACAGUUUCCAUCUCUCUUGUAAUGUCUUUCACUGAAGGUGAACUACUCUGAUUUUGCAGAUGUUACACAUGAGUUCCUUAUUCAGGGAGAAGAAGCUGAAUCAGCUGUUGCAGAUUGCCUGCUGCCUCGUCUGCCUCUGCAGACUGGAAAGGACCACUCCUGCUACCAAGGAAAACAGGGAGUAAAAAUCCAAAUACCAUGCCCUUGACUUGGUUAUGGAAAAGAAAGCAGAUGAAAAAUUUUCCUGUUCAUGGUCAGAAAUUACCACAUUAACCUGUGAUAGCUGAAUCAUGGAAGGUAUAUAUGACAUCUUUCUAAAAUGUUUGUUCUAAUUUCUUCUAGUAUGAAGAUGCAGCACAGAAGUGGAAAACUCAAUAUAAAUAUUCCCUAAUACCCUAAGAGGGAUAAAUAUUACUGUGAGUUACAAUUGUAUCUCUCUUACCAUUUCUUUGUCUUUAACUGUCUCUAAGGUACAAAUAAUUUUAUUUCUCUAGCUGUGAUUUUUUUUUGCCCCUUUUAUAUUAAUUGUAUUUAUAUCAAAAUAUAUAUUGAUAUAAAUUGUCAUUGUAAGGGUUUUUUUCCCUGUUUGGUUUUUUUCAUUUUUUUGGUACUUUUUUUCUGUCUGUUUGUUUUG